GCUCAGGUUAUCUGUUUCUAAAAGCCCAGGCGCAUCUCUUUUCAGAGGCCCAGGCAGGCUCCGGUAACCGAAUACGAGGAGUUUUUUUUAGCACAAUCUAACAUAUGUGUGGUCGGAAGCGACGGACUGCAGCCAAAAUUGCAACGAAAAAGGAAUUGGUUAUGGACUUCUGAUUUUGGAUGGACAAAAGUUAUUUAAUGGGCCGUGUUUUCCUAUAAACGGGCCCAGGUAAUUGGAUCAUUCUCUCCUGAUAGAGCCUCACAGUCUGCCUGGGCUAGGAGGAAGAGAAU
Molecule: long non-coding RNA, 290 nt
Filed under: Brachypodium distachyon (stiff brome)
Lineage: Eukaryota; Viridiplantae; Streptophyta; Magnoliopsida; Poales; Poaceae
Description: long non-coding RNA (BDIS_LNC003972)
Source: RNAcentral